CACGCAGGCGGUGCUGCGCGUUUCGCGUGACAGCGGGUGGCUUAACUGCCCGAGGGUGCGAAAGACGGCAGGACUGGAGGGCCAGAGAGGGACACGGAAUUCCGGGUGGAGUGGUGAAAUGCGUAGAGAUCCGGAGGAACACCAAAGGCGAAGGCAGUGUCCUGGCUGGUGACUGACGCUGAGGUGCGAAAGCCAGGGGAGCGAACGGGAUUAGAUACCCCGGUAGUCCUGGCCGUAAACGAUGACCACCAGGUGUGGGAGGGCUCGACCCCUUCCGUGCCGUAGGAAACCCAUUAAGUGGUCCGCCUGGGGAGUACGGUCGCAAGAUUAAA
RNAcentral lists this ribosomal RNA (332 nucleotides) under uncultured bacterium. Its description in RNAcentral is "bacterial SSU rRNA". It matches the Rfam family "Bacterial small subunit ribosomal RNA", at positions 568 to 898 of the family's 1533-position model. The record is from RNAcentral.